AGUCGAACGAGCCCUUCGGGGUUAGUGGCGCACGGGUGCGUAACGCGUGGGAAUCUGCCCUUCGGUUGGGAAUAACACAGAGAAAUUUGUGCUAAUACCUUAUAAUGUCUUCGGACCAAAGAUUUAUCGCCGAGGGAUGAGCCCGCGUAAGAUUAGGUAGUUGGUGGGGUAAUGGCCUACCAAGCCGACGAUCUUUAGCUGGUCUGAGAGGAUGAUCAGCCACACUGGGACUGAGACACGGCCCAGACUCCUACGGGAGGCAGCAGUGGGGAAUAUUGGACAAUGGGCGAAAGCCUGAUCCAGCAAUGCCGCGUGAGUGAUGAAGGCCUUAGGGUUGUAAAGCUCUUUUACCAGGGAUGAUAAUGACAGUACCUGGAGAAUAAGCUCCGGCUAACUCCGUGCCAGCAGCCGCGGUAAUACGGAGGGAGCUAGCGUUGUUCGGAAUUACUGGGCGUAAAGCGCGCGUAGGCGGUUUCUCAAGUCAGAGGUGAAAGCCCGGGGCUCAACCCCGGAACUGCCUUUGAAACUAGGAGACUAGAAUCUUGGAGAGGUCAGUGGAAUUCCGAGUGUAGAGGUGAAAUUCGUAGAUAUUCGGAAGACACCAGUGGCGAAGGCGACUGACUG
Molecule: ribosomal RNA, 624 nt
Filed under: uncultured Alphaproteobacteria bacterium
Lineage: Bacteria; Pseudomonadati; Pseudomonadota; Alphaproteobacteria
Description: bacterial SSU rRNA
Rfam family: Bacterial small subunit ribosomal RNA
Source: RNAcentral